Molecule: ribosomal RNA, 247 nt
Filed under: uncultured bacterium
Lineage: Bacteria
Description: partial 16S ribosomal RNA
Rfam family: Bacterial small subunit ribosomal RNA
Source: RNAcentral
UACGAAGGGGCUAGCGUUGCUCGGAAUUACUGGGCGUAAGCGCACGUAGGCGGCUUCUAAGUCGGGGUGAAUCCUGGAGCUCAACUCCAGAACUGCCUUCGAUACUGGAAGCUCGAGUCCGGGAGAGGUGAGUGGAACUGCGAGUGUAGAGGUGAAAUUCGUAGAUAUUCGCAAGAACACCAGUGGCGAAGGCGGCUCACUGGCCCGGUACUGACGCUGAGGUGCGAAAGCGUGGGGAGCAAACAGG